This 223-nucleotide long non-coding RNA is filed under the name Brassica napus (rape). RNAcentral describes it as "long non-coding RNA (BNAP_LNC025955)". Lineage: Eukaryota; Viridiplantae; Streptophyta; Magnoliopsida; Brassicales; Brassicaceae. The record is from RNAcentral.
AUUGAGUUUCGUUACGAAGAAUUUAUCAUAUGAUUUUCGACUGUGGGCUAUACAAUAAUUAUUCUCUUGGUAGUCACAUGACGAUUUUAGACAAAUCGUAGAUUGUCGUUUAGCCGUUAAGUGAUGGAGCGAUGGUUUCUCAAAUAGUUUGGCUUGACGUGAAGGAUGUGUUCAAUCAGAUAGCCAAGGAUGUUAUAGGUCAAGGAUUAGACCAUGGUACUUU